AUUGAACGCUGGCGGCAGGCCUAACACAUGCAAGUCGAACGGUAACAGGAAGAAGCUUGCUUCUUUGCUGACGAGUGGCGGACGGGUGAGUAAUGUCUGUGAAACUGCCUGAUGGAGGGGGAUAACUACUGGAAACGGUAGCUAAUACCGCAUACCGUCGCAAGACCAAAGAGGGGGACCUUCGGGCCUCUUGCCAUCGGAUGUGCCCAGAUGGGAUUAGCUAGUAGGUGGGGUAACGGCUCACCUAGGCGACGAUCCCUAGCUGGUCUGAGAGGAUGACCAGCCACACUGGAACUGAGACACGGUCCAGACUCCUACGGGAGGCAGCAGUGGGGAAUAUUGCACAAUGGGCGCAAGCCUGAUGCAGCCAUGCCGCGUGUAUGAAGAAGGCCUUCGGGUUGUAAAGUACUUUCAGCGGGGAGGAAGGGAGUAAAGUUAAUACCUUUGCUCAUUGACGUUACCCGCAGAAGAAGCACCGGCUAACUCCGUG
Molecule: ribosomal RNA, 490 nt
Filed under: uncultured bacterium
Lineage: Bacteria
Description: partial 16S ribosomal RNA
Rfam family: Bacterial small subunit ribosomal RNA
Source: RNAcentral